UCAACCUCCGAGGACUCUGAGGGAGCGGU
RNAcentral lists this small RNA (29 nucleotides) under Bombyx mori (domestic silkworm). RNAcentral's name for it is "ovarian small RNA-24617". Lineage: Eukaryota; Metazoa; Arthropoda; Insecta; Lepidoptera; Bombycidae. The record is from RNAcentral.